CCCAAUAAUUAUGCAAUAAGGAGUGUCUAGCAUAGCCGUAAGUCACAGUACAAUUGCAAGAAAAUGUCAUACAGUCAUAUUAAAGAUUGUCCGAAAGAAAGGUCAUCAUAACAAAUAUAUAUGUUGCACCACCUUAUAAAAGUUCACAUGUAUUCAAUUACUAAAUCCAAGACUUGCAUUUACAAUUAUCAACACAAAUCUAAGGGUAUCUGAUUGUUACACCAGCAUCCACCAAAUUUUAUCCAAUCAUACUAAGUCUGCAGUCAAAAACAUAUGACAGAUACAUUGUCCACCAUAUAAUGCUUUCUGGAAAUAACCUCCCUUGUGAUCUCACUGAGAAUUUGAUACUGCCCAAAUACAGCUAAGACCAUCCAACAAUAACAAAUAGGGUAAUUCCAAUGUCCAUCCCCAAUUGGAAAAGUUAGCACUGAGUACUGAACACAUUUACAGUUCCUUCCCCAUUCCUUUGCAUUUAGGGACUAGGGUCAACAACAAUACAUAUCAUCCAAGCCUUAAAUUAUGAAUAAAAUUUCAUAUUAAAAUUGCAUUUUAGGCAACAACUAGCUUUCACAUUAAGAAAUCAUCCAACUUUUUUGGGCCAUAGUUGGCUCAUGUAUACCACACCACCCUUCAUAGAUAAUGAAAAAAUAUUUCAUCUCAACAACAGUUUCACAAUUAGGGUCCUAAAAGGACAAUAGAUACUAUCCCUUAAAUCAUAUGAUUACAAUUUCGUAUGAAUAUUGCAUUGAAGGCCAUCAUCCAACUUUUGCAUUAUGAAUAGAGUUCAAAAUGCAUUUUACUCGAAGGUCAUUG
RNAcentral lists this long non-coding RNA (813 nucleotides) under Trifolium pratense (red clover). Its description in RNAcentral is "long non-coding RNA (TPRA_LNC012889)". The record is from RNAcentral. Lineage: Eukaryota; Viridiplantae; Streptophyta; Magnoliopsida; Fabales; Fabaceae.